AUUGAUUUUGUUCGAGCUAGCUGUGGUCAGAACAUUUCUUCAAAGGGAGAUCGGGCCGUGUGCUAUUUACCCGUGUUUCUCCGCUAAUUCCCGUGCCUUAUCUUCGCUAACGACACGUCUGUCUUCCAGAUCGGACUUAUUUCCGCAGAGAAUUAUGUCUGGAUCUUCGCAGUAUGCGAUUGAACGAUCGAACGACGGUUUGAGUUGCGAAGUAACAUCGAACACGCUUGUGCUAAUGGAUAGAAUGGAACAUCGUAGAUAGUCUUUUUGGGGGGAGGAGCAAUAAAUUUAUUAAGUGUAUAAGAACAUGACAGUAGUAUACAGUCGUGUACAUAGUUGUUUGAUUUCCGUAAUACAGGAUUUAUUUAUAGAACACGUGAGAGACUUGCAGAGGUCCUGAGUGAUUAAUUUGAAUUACUGAAAGCGUGAGAGUCCCAUAUACAGCUCUACACUAUGGGGUAAAGCUACGAUAUCAUGCACCAUGCAGAACUAAGAAACGACUGUGCUACAGAAUGCGAACAGGCAAACCUCGACUCAAAUCAUCGUUCAACCUUACAGACUAAGCCAUCUACAACUACAGUAUUAAUAAAUGAUUAGUACCCUAAGUUGUUCCAGCCAAUUUCUAACUUCGAGGAACGAGAGCUCAUUGGUCAGGUCAAAGAUUAGGAGGAACCCCAUGGAAUCCCGGUAAAAUGUAGUGGUUAAACUUCUGAACCUGGAUAUUAAUAGCACGGAAGGUCUUUGUAGAUAAUUAUGAUAAUUAGGUACUAUCACUAUCACUAUCACUAUUAGGGGGAAUGCUAAUGACAUCGGCUGCCAUGAACGCACAAAGUAAUGUAUGCGCAUCAGUCCAAGUACUUAAAAUGUUUCACAAUGAUCAUAAAUAAGUGUUAAUAGCUUGUAACUACUCGAAAUUGUUAUUAAAGGCUGCUACUAUUAAAGCGUUA
Molecule: long non-coding RNA, 947 nt
Organism: Megalopta genalis
Lineage: Eukaryota; Metazoa; Arthropoda; Insecta; Hymenoptera; Halictidae
Source: RefSeq, a predicted model, not a curated record